AACGAACGCUGGCGGCAGGCUUAACACAUGCAAGUCGAACGGUCGUAGCAAUACGAUAGUGGCGCACGGGUGAGUAACGCGUGGGAAUAUACCCCUUAGUCGGGAAUAACAGCGGGAAACUGCUGCUAAUACCCGAUAUUCUCUUCGGAGGAAAGAUUUAUCGCUAGGGGAUUAGCCCGCGUCAGAUUAGCUAGUUGGUGAGGUAACGGCUCACCAAGGCAACGAUCUGUAGCCGGUCUGAGAGGAUGACCGGCCACACUGGAACUGAGACACGGUCCAGACUCCUACGGGAGGCAGCAGUGGGGAAUAUUGGACAAUGGGCGAAAGCCUGAUCCAGCCAUGCCGCGUGAAUGAUGAAGGCCUUAGGGUUGUAAAGUUCUUUUGUCAGGGAAGAUAAUGACGGUACCUGAAGAAUAAGCACCGGCUAACUUCGUGCCAGCAGCCGCAGUAA
This 451-nucleotide ribosomal RNA is filed under the name uncultured bacterium. RNAcentral describes it as "partial 16S ribosomal RNA". It matches the Rfam family "Bacterial small subunit ribosomal RNA", at positions 29 to 523 of the family's 1533-position model. The record is from RNAcentral.